Molecule: ribosomal RNA, 218 nt
Filed under: Anaerolineales bacterium
Lineage: Bacteria; Bacillati; Chloroflexota; Anaerolineae; Anaerolineales
Description: partial 23S ribosomal RNA
Rfam family: Bacterial large subunit ribosomal RNA
Source: RNAcentral
ACCGAUAGUGUGCCAGUUGUCGUGGCAAGGGCAUUGCUGGGUAGCUACGGCUGGCAGGGAUAACCGCUGAAAGCAUAUAAGCGGGAAGCUCGCCUAAAGAUUAGAUCCCUCAUCCGUAUGGAGUAAGACCGCUAGGAGACUACUAGCUUGAUAGGCGGCAUGUGUAAGUGCAGUAAUGUAUUUAGCUAAGCCGUACUAAUGGUCGAGGGCUUACGUUC